UGAGCUGGCCAGACAGUCGCCGUGCGUUCGCGCAUGGAGGAAAGUCCGGGCUCCAGAGAGCAGGAUGCCGGUUAACAGCCGGGCGUCGAAAGACGACGGAAAGUGCAGCAGAGAAUAGACCGCCGAUGGCCCUAUGGUACAGGCAAGGGUGAAAUGGAGGUGUAAGAGACCACCGCAGGCGCGGCAACGCGGCUGGCUAGGUAAACCCCAUCCGGAGCAAGGUCAAAUAGGGGAACAAUCGCGUUGCUCGCGCGGUUCCCGGGUAGGCUGCUUGAGCGGCGCGGUAACUCGCCGCCUAGAGGAAUGACUGUCUGGGGUCUGUCAAAGGGCCCAACACAGAACCCGGCUUAUCGGCCAGCUUCUUUU
Molecule: RNase P RNA, 366 nt
Filed under: Pseudomonadota bacterium
Lineage: Bacteria; Pseudomonadati; Pseudomonadota
Description: RNase P RNA component class A
Rfam family: Bacterial RNase P class A
About the family: Ribonuclease P (RNase P) is a ubiquitous endoribonuclease, found in archaea, bacteria and eukarya as well as chloroplasts and mitochondria.
Source: RNAcentral